Molecule: ribosomal RNA, 253 nt
Filed under: uncultured bacterium
Lineage: Bacteria
Description: partial 16S ribosomal RNA
Rfam family: Bacterial small subunit ribosomal RNA
Source: RNAcentral
UACAGGGGGGGCAAGCGUUGUUCGGAAUUACUGGGCGUAAAGGGCUCGUAGGUGGCCAACUAAGUCAGACGUGAAAUCCCUCAGCUUAACUGGGGAACUGCGUCUGAUACUGGAUGGCUUGAGUUUGGGAGAGGGAUGCGGAAUUCCAGGUGUAGCGGUGAAAUGCGUAGAUAUCUGGAGGAACACCGGUGGCGAAGGCGGCAUCCUGGACCAACACUGACACUGAAGAGCGAAAGCCAGGGGAGCAAACGGG